This 2399-nucleotide long non-coding RNA is filed under the name Pan troglodytes (chimpanzee). RNAcentral's name for it is "long non-coding RNA NONPTRT003484". The record is from RNAcentral. Lineage: Eukaryota; Metazoa; Chordata; Mammalia; Primates; Hominidae.
CUGCUGUCCUGGCGCAGUGGGGAGGAGGGCAGGCCUGGGGGCUGGACAGCAGCAGGGCCAGGGUGGUCUAAGCAAGGGGAGACGCGCCUCUGCUUCCUGCGACCUUGGCGGUGAGCCUGGGGACAGGGGUGAGGCCAGAGACGGACGGACGCAGGGGCCCGGCCCAAGGCGAGGCAGAACAGCGGCACUGAGGCAGAAAGGAAGAGGGCGGUGUGUUCACCCGCAGCCCAAUCCAUCACUCAGCAACUCCUAGACGCUGGUAGAAAGUUCCUCCGAGGAGCCUGCCAUCCAGUCGUGCGUGCAGGGACCAUCGCUCCUGGCUGUGGCCAAGCAGGACUGGGAAGAGCCCCCGUGGCCCCUGCAGGUCAGGCCGCUGCACCCCCUACAUCCGAUCCACCUCGCUGCCCAAGCGGGACAGGUUAUUUUUGUUCCUUCAGAUUUUGCCAGUGCCUUUGCACCCCUCUCCGGGAGUUACUCAGUUACCAAUGUUGGUUUUCUAUUUCCAGAGCAAAGGCAGGUCCUCCCCUCCGCGGCUUUCUCCACCCGAGCGGGGGCUGGGCCUCUGCCUUCCAUCCAAGCCUGGGUCCAGGUCCCACAGCCGCAGCUCCCUCGCCUUUGUGGAGGAAGACGGGGGCACCUGAGGGAGAGGGUGCCUCAGCUGUCUUUCAUAUCUUCCCCUGACCCCUAACCCCACCCUGCUUUCUCCUGGACCAUUCCCAUCAGCAUGCUCUACCUCUCAUCUCUAAAAGUAUCCCUCUCCAGGAUCCGUCUUUGCCAGUCCAUCGCGCUGACCCUUCCACAGCCGCCUCCUCACAAGAGCAGGGCCCCUUGCUGCCUCCACUUCCUCCCCCAGCCCCAGCCACUGCUUCACUGCAGCUGUUCAUAUGAAACUCGGCCUGAGGAGAGCUUCUGUGCCUCCCAUGUCCUCUCCCAGCAGCCCAGCCUCAGCUGACUACCCUCCGGAGGCCCUCUCUUCUCCCUUCUGCUUCCCCAUGCGGCGUUGUCCUUCUGGUUCCUUCUUGCCUUGUCUGUGAUUCCUUCUUGCCUUGUCUGUGAUUCCUUCUCAGGCCUCUUGGCAGGUUUCUCUUCAAAGUGACUGGAAAGCUAGUGCCACGUGGACUUGGUCCUGCCAUCCCCUCUGCUGUGUUUCUGUGGUUUAGACACCAUCUGUAUGGUGGCAAACCCCAUUCUUCCUCUGAGUUCUGACCCCCAGAAGCAGUUCCCUUGAACACUUCUGUUGGAGGCCUCGCGGACAUUUCGACUUAAUGCAUCCAUGAAGUCCUCUCUUACCUGGACUCCACAGUGGCCUCAUGACUGGCCUGCCUGCUGCCAACCCUCACCUCCUCCAUUUCAAUCUCCAGGAAGUAUGAAGAAUUGUCUUUUUGGGAGGAUCACUUGAGGCCAGGACUUUGAGACCAGCCUGGGUAACAUAGCUUGACCUCAUCUAUUAAAAAAAAAAAUCAGCCAGGUGUGGUGGCAUGCACCUGUCAUCUCAGCUACUCGGGAGGCUGAGGUGGGUGGAUCACUUAAGCCUGGGAGGUCCAGGCUGCAGUGAGCUGAGACUGCACCACUGCACUCCAGCCUGGGUGACAGAGUAAGACCCUGUCUCAAACAAACAAACAAACAAACAACCAGAACUGUCUUUUAAUAGCAUUCGGUUCAUGAUAUCUUUUCUCCAGAAGCUUUCAGUGUGCCCAUGCAUGUGUGCUGUGUGUGUGCAUAUGUGCACAUGCAUAUGUGUGUGUGUUUGGAAUGUUACCAUAGCCUGUGAGGCCCUGAGUAAUUCCACACUUUUCCCAUUUUCCCAGCCUUAUCUCAUACCCCUUAUCCUUGGCCAGGUGCUUGAGUCUUUCAGCUCCCACUAGUCAAACUUCUUUUCCUACCAUAGGGCCUAGAAUCCCAUCCUCUCCCAGCGUGUGCAUGCAUGCGCGCGCGCACACACACACACACACACUGAGCUGGCCCCAUUUUCAUUCUUCACAUCCACCUGAGUGUCAUCUCUGCAGAGAAGUUUUCCUCACUGCCCUGUCCAAACCAGCCCUCCUCUUCUAAUUUCUAUUUCAGUCCUCUAUUUGAUUUCUUUUCAUAAUAGCAUGGAUUGUACUUUGUAAUAAUUUUAUUUAUUUGUUUCUUCACCUUCACCUUUGCUGUUCACUCCAGAAUGUAAACUCCACAGGGCAGGGGCUAUGUCUGAUGUUUCCAUCAUUGUAACCCCAAUGCUUAGCAGACGGCUUGGCACUUGGUAGAUGUGCAAUAAAAAUGUGUUGGAUGAGUCAGUGAAUAAAUGAAUGAAUGGUCCCAGUUGCUAAGGUCAUUUAGGUUCCAGUGGGACUGGAAGACAGGUAUGGAGGAAGGGAAGACCAUGGUUGGUAGAAAGGCACUGCCUAGGUAGGCUUUCC